GACGAACGCUGGCGGCGUGCUUAACACAUGCAAGUCGAACGAGAAUCUGUGGAUCGAGGAUUCGUCCAAGUGAAGCAGAGGACAGUGGCGGACGGGUGAGUAAUAUGUAGGAAAUCUGCCCUAGAGAGGGGGACAACAGAAGGAAACUUCUGCUAAUACCCCAUAUGAGCUUGGUUGAAAUACCAAUCUUGAAAACUCCGGUGCUCUAGGAUGAGCCUGCACCUGAUUAGCUUGUUGGUGGUGUAAUGGACUACCAAGGCGACGAUCAGUAGCCGACCUGAGAGGUUGAACGGCCACAUUGGGACUGAGAUACGGCCCAGACUCCUACGGGAGGCAGCAGUGGGGAAUAUUGGGCAAUGGGCGAAAGCCUGACCCAGCAACGCCGCGUGAAGGAAGAAGGCCUCGUUGUAAUACUUUAUAGGUAGGAAGAAGUAGACGGUACCGUACCUUGUAAU
RNAcentral lists this ribosomal RNA (455 nucleotides) under uncultured bacterium. RNAcentral's name for it is "bacterial SSU rRNA". It matches the Rfam family "Bacterial small subunit ribosomal RNA", at positions 28 to 470 of the family's 1533-position model. The record is from RNAcentral.